Molecule: ribosomal RNA, 253 nt
Filed under: uncultured bacterium
Lineage: Bacteria
Also listed under: 2 other names
Description: partial 16S ribosomal RNA
Rfam family: Bacterial small subunit ribosomal RNA
Source: RNAcentral
UACGAAGGUGGCAAGCGUUGUUCGGAUUUACUGGGCGUACAGGGAGCGUAGGCGGUUGGAUAAGCCCUCCGUGAAAUCUCCAGGCUUAACCUGGAAAGUGCAGAGGGGACUGUUCAGCUAGAGGAUGGGAGAGGAGCGCGGAAUUCCCGGUGUAGCGGUGAAAUGCGUAGAGAUCGGGAGGAAGGCCGGUGGCGAAGGCGGCGCUCUGGAACAUUUCUGACGCUGAGGCUCGAAAGCGUGGGGAGCAAACAGG